Molecule: non-coding RNA, 99 nt
Filed under: Marinobacter similis
Lineage: Bacteria; Pseudomonadati; Pseudomonadota; Gammaproteobacteria; Pseudomonadales; Marinobacteraceae
Description: TPP sequence
Rfam family: TPP riboswitch aptamer (THI element)
About the family: Vitamin B(1) in its active form thiamin pyrophosphate (TPP) is an essential coenzyme that is synthesised by coupling of pyrimidine and thiazole moieties in bacteria. The previously detected thiamin-regulatory element, thi box was extended, resulting in a new, highly conserved RNA secondary structure, the THI element, which is widely distributed in eubacteria and also occurs in some archaea.
Source: Rfam by way of RNAcentral
GCCAACUCAACGGGGUGCCCUCCUAGACACAGGGCUGAGACCAGACCCGCGGAACCUGAUCCGGAUUAUGCCGGCGAAGGGAUUGAGUGCUCACCAAGG